This 253-nucleotide ribosomal RNA is filed under the name uncultured bacterium. RNAcentral's name for it is "partial 16S ribosomal RNA". It matches the Rfam family "Bacterial small subunit ribosomal RNA", at positions 524 to 776 of the family's 1533-position model. The record is from RNAcentral.
UACGAAGGGGGCUAGCGUUGUUCGGAAUCACUGGGCGUAAGGGGCGCGUAGGCGGCCGAUCAAGUCGGGGGUGAAAGCCUGUGGCUCAACCACAGAAUGGCCUUCGAUACUGUUUGGCUUGAGACCGGAAGAGGUCAGUGGAACUGCGAGUGUAGAGGUGAAAUUCGUAGAUAUUCGGAAGAACACCAGUGGCGAAGGCGACUCGCUGGACAGGUAUUGACGCUGAGGAGCGAAAGCGUGGGGAGCAAACAGG